Molecule: ribosomal RNA, 253 nt
Filed under: uncultured bacterium
Lineage: Bacteria
Description: partial 16S ribosomal RNA
Rfam family: Bacterial small subunit ribosomal RNA
Source: RNAcentral
UACAGAGGUGGCAAGCGUUGUUCGGAAUUACUGGGCGUAAAGGGCGCGUAGGCGGCGUGUUAAGUCAGCUGUGAAAUCUCCAAGCUUAACUUGGAACGGUCAGCUGAUACUGAUGUGCUAGAGUGCAGAAGGGGCAAUCGGAAUUCUUGGUGUAGCGGUGAAAUGCGUAGAUAUCAAGAGGAACACCUGAGGUGAAGACGGGUUGCUGGGCUGACACUGACGCUGAGGCGCGAAAGCUAGGGUAGCAAACGGG